This 324-nucleotide unclassified non-coding RNA is filed under the name soil metagenome. Its description in RNAcentral is "partial contains 5.8S ribosomal RNA, internal transcribed spacer 2, and large subunit ribosomal RNA". The stretch from base 1 to 120 matches the Rfam family "5.8S ribosomal RNA", at positions 35 to 154 of the family's 154-position model. The record is from RNAcentral.
GAUGAAGAACGCAGCGAAAUGCGAUAAGUAGUGUGAAUUGCAGAAUUCAGUGAAUCAUCGAAUCUUUGAACGCACAUUGCGCCCCUUGGUAUUCCAUGGGGCAUGCCUGUUCGAGCGUCAUUUGUACCUUCAAGCUUUGCUUGGUGUUGGGUGUUUGUCCCUCGGGACUCGCCUUAAAGUCAUUGGCAGCCAGUGUUUUGGUUUUGAAGCGCAGCACAAGUCGCGAUUCAAGGCUAUCCGCCCGCUUCCACAAGCCUUUUUCACUUUUGACCUCGGAUCAGGUAGGGAUACCCGCUGAACUCAAGCAUAUCAAUAAGCGGAGGA